RNAcentral lists this ribosomal RNA (433 nucleotides) under uncultured bacterium. RNAcentral's name for it is "partial 16S ribosomal RNA". It matches the Rfam family "Bacterial small subunit ribosomal RNA", at positions 29 to 507 of the family's 1533-position model. The record is from RNAcentral.
AACGAACGCUGGCGGCAUGCCUAACACAUGCAAGUCGAACGAAGCCUUCGGGCUUAGUGGCGCACGGGUGCGUAACGCGUGGGAAUCUGCCCCUUGCUUCGGAAUAACAGUUAGAAAUGACUGCUAAUACCGGAUGAAGUCUUCGGACCAAAGAUUUAUCGGCAAGGGAUGAGCCCGCGUAGGAUUAGGUAGUUGGUGGGGUAAAGGCCUACCAAGCCGACGAUCCUUAGCUGGUCUGAGAGGAUGAUCAGCCACACUGGGACUGAGACACGGCCCAGACUCCUACGGGAGGCAGCAGUGGGGAAUAUUGGACAAUGGACGCAAGUCUGAGCCAGCAAUGCCGCGUGAGUGAUGAAGGCCUUAGGGUUGUAAAGCUCUUUUACCAGGGAUGAUAAUGACAGUACCUGGAGAAUAAGCUCCGGCUAACUCCGUG